UGAUCUCUUGACCUCGUGAUCUGCCCGCCUUGGCCUCCCAAAGUGCUGGGAUUACACACGUGAGCCACCACGCCCAACAAAAGCUCUUAAUGUUUAAAUCAGGAUCAUAGACUCCUGUCCCCCUCUUCUAAGACCUUAGACUAAUAGGCGCAGUAUAACAUAGUGGUUAAGAUGUGUAUCAGUUCUAAAGCCAUGCAGACUAGUUUUGAAUACUGGCCUCCCCUUGAUGACUUUGGGCAGGUUGCUUAACCUUUCUGCACUUCCAGUGCCUUAUCUAUAAAAUGAGGACAAUAUGGAAUACUACUCAGCAAUAAGAAGGAACUGUUGAUACAUGCAAUAACUUGGGUGGAUCUCAAAGUCAUUCUGCUGAGUGAAUGAUUCCAGUUAUAUAGCACUCUGGAAACGGCCAAACUGUGGCAAAAAGGAACAUGCAUGAUUGCCAGGGGUUAGAAGUGUGAAAAGGAGUAACUUAAGCAUAUCCUAAGUGACAGAAAAAAAAAAAAAAAAGAAGUGGGACGCGGGUGUGACUACCAUGGGUUAGUAUGAGGUGAUUUUUGAGAUGAAACUGUUUUGUAUCCUGAUUGUGGUAGUGGUUACAUGAGUCAGUACAUGUGUUAAAACUCAUAGAUAAUACACUCCUCCACGGAAUCCAUUUACUAUCCAUUAAUUUUCUUAAAUAAAUGUAAAAAUGGGGCAGUAACAAAACCUACAGAUACCUGUAUACUACCUACUAUAUAGUACAUAAUGACUAAAUGGUUUUUAUUGUCAUUUUAUCAUUGUUAUUAAAAGUAUAAUAUUAAAUAUGGUGACAUUAAUUGAAAGUAAGAUAGAAUAAACUUUCAUACCAUCUGCAUGGGUAUGGUCAGUAAAUGUGAGAAAAAUGAGUAACUGAGUCAGAUGGAGUAUGUUUUCACAUGAUUUGGCAAGAGAUAUGAGGUUUUCUGGACAGUGGGGAAGGAUUAGGCCUAGUAUUUCUGGAGUAUCUUGCAACUGGCUUCUUGUCUGGCUGCAUAUACAGUUCCCUUGAUAGUAUUCUUCAACAAAAUAGCUUUGGUCUUGGAAGCCGCAGCUCCUUUUAUUGGCUUCAGAUUAGAUCUGAAAUUUGGACUGAACAAACUGGUCAAAGAAGGAGCUGGAAGUAGUUUUCAUACUUGAAAGAUGGUAGCUGUUCCAUAUAACAGCUGUGGCUUCCAGAGCCAUUUCUUCCUGCCAGCCACAGUCUCUGGAUUAGACAGUGAUAGCAGUAAGGCAAGCAUUGUUCCAGAGCUAAAAAAAAAAAAAAAAAAAAAAAA
Molecule: long non-coding RNA, 1292 nt
Organism: Sapajus apella (tufted capuchin)
Lineage: Eukaryota; Metazoa; Chordata; Mammalia; Primates; Cebidae
Exons: 2
Source: RefSeq, a predicted model, not a curated record